GAUGAACGCUAGCUACAGGCUUAACACAUGCAAGUCGCGGGGCAGCAUGGGGGUUGCUUGCAAUCCCCGAUGGCGACCGGCGCACGGGUGAGUAACGCGUAUCCAACCUGCCCUUCACCACGGGCUAACCCGGCGAAAGUCGGACUAAUACCGUAUGUUGUCCAUUGACGGCAUCCGAUUUGGACGAAAGGUUUGGCGGUGAAGGAUGGGGAUGCGUCCGAUUAGCUGGACGGCGGGGUGACGGCCCACCGUGGCGACGAACGGUAGGGGUUCUGAGAGGAAGGUCCCCCACACUGGAACUGAGACACGGUCCAGACUCCUACGGGAGGCAGCAGUGAGGAAUAUUGGUCAAUGGGCGUAAGCCUGAACCAGCCAAGUAGCAUGCAGGAUGACGGCCCUAUGGGUUGUAAACUGCUUUUAUGCGGGGAUAAAGUGGCCCACGUGUGGGUUUUUGCAGGUACCGCAUGAAUAAGGACCGGCUAAUUCCGUG
Molecule: ribosomal RNA, 490 nt
Filed under: uncultured bacterium
Lineage: Bacteria
Description: partial 16S ribosomal RNA
Rfam family: Bacterial small subunit ribosomal RNA
Source: RNAcentral